Molecule: long non-coding RNA, 664 nt
Filed under: Cricetulus griseus (Chinese hamster)
Lineage: Eukaryota; Metazoa; Chordata; Mammalia; Rodentia; Cricetidae
Description: lncRNA (ENSCGRG00015033548.1)
Source: RNAcentral
AGAACCCCGUGUCAGACUGAUGCCUUUCGUGGUGCCCACAGAAGCCAGCUUAUUGGGUGGUAAGCCCCAGCGUUGGAGAGCCUGUAUGUGACACAAGCAUAUGAGACCAGCAGUGGAGCCCUCCUGUGCUGCCCCGGGGGUCCACUCCCUGGGUAAGUCAAGGCAAAUGGAUGGAACUAGAAGAAACCAUUCUGAGUGAAGUAACCCAGUCACAAAAAGACAAACAGGACCAGAGUCCUCAUCCAGUGGCUGAUGGAAGCAGAGACAGACAUCCACAGAAAUACACUGAGCUGAAAUCUGGAACCUAGUUGAAGAGAGGGAGGAAUGAAGAACGAAGGGGUCUGUACCAGGUUGGAGAAACCCACAGAAACAGUUGGCCUGAAAAAGGGAAAGCAUAUCGACCCCAGACGCUCUUUGGGAGGCCAGUACAGGACUGAUCCAGCCCCCUGAUCAUGGAUGCCAAUGGGGAGGCCCCUGCACUCCUUGGAGCCUCCAGAGGUGGACUGGCGUUUUGCCCUGGUGUGUGUGUGGGACUUUGAGAGCCCAUCCCACUUGAAUGGAUGCACUCUGUCUCUGGACACAUGGGGAGGGGCCUAGGCCCAGCACAGGAAGAUUUGGUGGACUUGGUGGAGUCCCGGUUGGGGGCCCUACCCUGCCUGGGGAG